RNAcentral lists this long non-coding RNA (2586 nucleotides) under Homo sapiens (human). RNAcentral's name for it is "HSALNT0298617". Lineage: Eukaryota; Metazoa; Chordata; Mammalia; Primates; Hominidae. The record is from RNAcentral.
CAGGUACGAGCCACCGUCCCCAGCCUCAAAUGACACUUUCUAUUGGGAGCUCUGCCUACCGUCCCUUGUUCCUCCACCCUCCCCUGUACCUCUGGGCCCCACAGCAUGUUUUCUGACCCCCUCCCAGGGGUACUUUCCAUAAUCUAUCCAUUGUGGAGUCAUCAUCCUCUUCCCACCUUCCAAUACAGAUAGAUUCCUCUGUCCAGCAUUCUGCAAGCCAUCUUAGCCAACGUCUAUUCUUUUCUCAUUUCCAUUUGCAAAGCGCCUUUGUACAAUGCAUGGCAGUUAGGAGAGACUUAACAAAUACGUGGUAAAGUGCAUUGAAAUGACCAAGUGCAUAUGUUUACAACAUGGCUGGCUGGCAUUAGAUAUGCAGCCUGUGGUUACAAACUAAGAUUUCUUUGGGUGGAGAACAAACUCCCUCAAACCAUCCCAUUUGGGUAUGGACCAUGACUUUGGUCUCUCAAUUUAGUUAGAUGAGCUAACUACCCCAGAUGGCAGACACAGAGGGAGAAACACAUACGCACACAUUAAAAAUAAAGACAUGCACAGCACACGUGUAAGACAUUUUGUAACUAUGGGGCACCUUCUUUAUUCUCAAAGUCCAGUGUAGAUGAAUUGCAUUAACCCUCACCUUAGACUUCUCAGGCAAUCACCUGAGGAAUCAGAGCAAAGGAGCCAUCAUUCCAGAGGUGGUGACCCUUGGUGGGUGAAGCAGGUACCACCAGCCCCUGUGAAUCUCAACCACCUGGCAGGAGGGGGCACGCCAUGUCCCUAUUGUAUCUCCUUAUAGGACCUCAGAGCUGUGAUAACCAAUCCUAUCUACCCCCAGCCAAGGCAUCACCCUACCCCCUCCCAUUCAAAGAGAAAGCCCACUUUCUCAGAGCUGGGUGCGCCAGCCCCGGGAGGCAGUGGCUGUGAGUUCUGCUAUGCACAUCUCUACAUUUUCUAAUCAUCAGUUUCAGCCACUUAAGCUGAGGCAAUUAACAUGUUUAGAGACAGCCACCGUGGGCCUGAAUCAUCCAUUAUUUCUCCAUCUCCAUCUCCAAUUCCAAUGACAAAUCUCUGACUGAUUACAGUUUGGAUUUCAGGUCCCACUCUUAAUCACCACUGCUUCUUCUCUCUUUGGGGCUUGAUUUAUUGUGGAGGCUGCAACCUUCCAAGCAGGGAGGAUUCAUCACUGUCUCCACGUAGAGGAAAACUGCUUAAUGCAGGCCAGCUAGUCACGGAGGUCUCCAGCCUUUUGGAGGUUGGGAAAAAAGCUGAAGAAUUUAUUCUGCCAUUUCAGGUGGCUUCUCUAGAUGACCUCUUAUGCCUAGAACACUGAACAGGAUCCUUACAAGUAGAAGAGGCUCCUCCAAUUAAUCCAGAGACUUUUAGGAGUGACAGUGACCUUUUGAUACACACACUGAUCCUUGCCUACUUCACCAGCUGCUUCUUGUCACAAUGAUGUGGAAGAGAUACGCAUCAAGAGCCUACUAUGAGGUGUCAAACACUGUGGCAGGCACUGGAGGUGCCAGGAUGAGUUCAAUGAGCCUGGUGACAAUGUUCCAGGCACCCCCAGGCUGAUGGGAGAGACCGACAGCUGAACACUGGACCAUGCCGCAGCCAGCACUCACACACUGAGGAGAUGCAAUUUUAAAGACACUCAUCUAUGGAGUGCCCCAAAUGCACUAGGACUGCACAGGCUGUGUGGGGAACUCAAGGUUGAAAAAGAUAUAUCCUUGGCCCUCAGGAAGACUACAGCCAGUGUAAAGGGGACCAUAACGAUGUCUACAUCCCAGGGCUGUCGCGAGUGAGAUCAUCCAACCAAGCACUUUGUACAACGUCUGGCAUAUUAUACCACAUAUAAUACCUUAAUAAAUGUUGUUAUAGAAAAAAACACUUAAGCCUCUGUUGCGAGCUGAAUGUUCAUCUCCCCAUAAAAUUCACAUGUUGAAACGCUACCCCCUAAUGUGAUGGUGUUAGGAAGUGGGGUCUCUGGGAGUUGAUUAGGAUUAGAUGACAACAUGAGGGUGGAGCCCUCGUGAAUGGGAUUAGUGUCCUGAUAAAGGGUGCAGAGAGAGCUUGCCCCUCCACCAUGUAAGGCUGCAGCAAGAAGACAGCUGUCUAUGAACCAGGAAGUGGCCCUCUACAGAUGCUGAAUUGUCUGGCACCUUAAUCUUGGACUUCCCAGCCUCCAGAGCUGUGAGAGAUACAUUUGUGUUGUUAAGCCACUGAGUCUAGGGUAUUUUGUUAUAGCAGCACAAAGAUAGCCACUGAGAACCAAUCUUCCAUGUCUAGCUAACCUCGCCUCCUCCAGCAAAAAAAAAAAAAAAGAACCCGAGCCCCCCUUCCACUCUCUGCAUAGCAGUGUGACACCCCCUAGUGGCCUCUCCAGAAGCUUAUGCAUGCCAUGGCUUCCGGGCAGCCAGCAUAGCACCAUGGGUGGUCAGGGCCCUUCAUCACUUCCUUCAGCCCCAGCAUGGGUCAAUGCUGUCCUGCUCUCAAGUGACAACUUCUGGGCAGUGAAGUGCCUGGGAUCUCCUGGGAAGGGACAUCCCAUAAACAAAAAUAAUUACAAUAAUUACAUGACUUUGGCCCUAC